Molecule: long non-coding RNA, 1642 nt
Organism: Aedes albopictus (Asian tiger mosquito)
Lineage: Eukaryota; Metazoa; Arthropoda; Insecta; Diptera; Culicidae
Exons: 2
Source: RefSeq, a predicted model, not a curated record
CGACCUUGGCGGCGGACGCGCACGAAGCGUGGAAAUAACGCUGCUGCGACUCAACAGCGUACAGAGCGGCACGCUUGGCCUGGUGGAGAGGGAUAGAAAAGAAAAUCAUGAUUAAUACACGUGGGUAGCGGGAUCUUUUAGGUGAUCUAAUUCAUUUUAUCGGAUAAAUUUUGUGGUCGAAGGUGUGGUUUUCAGUAAUAAACUAGUCCCAAAACCUCUUGCCCUAUGAUCUUUUUAUCCUUCUAAGAGAAAGUAGAAAGCUUUCUUGUAGAUACUUUGUUGCACUAGAAAGUAUGAACCUACUAGGCAUCAGAUUAACAAACAUCAAAAGUUCGAUCGGGCACGAUCGUCGAGUUUUUUCGUUGCUACAGCUACAAUCAUGCACCGGUAAUAAAUACACGUGACACCCAUCGCGAUCAAGCGGCACCGGCGCGGGUGGAGUAAAAAUAAAAUAAAAACAUACGGCAGCCGCGCCGUAGCGGGUGACCUUCGUCAAAUGACUUGUUAUAGAUAGGCAGUUAGGCAGGGAGCUACAAGAUAGAAUAAAAGAAAGAUUGUGUCGGGUAAGGGACUAAAUUCUUUCCAGUACAGGGGGUUAUAUUAAUAAACGCAACUGGAUAAUAUUAUGCAAAAUUACACUGUUAUUUGCAUUUUUAUUGAAGGGUUGAACCUUAUCGAAACAAAUUUUAUGCAAACUGGUAGCCUACCACUGUUAGUGUAAAGUGUUUUAUUUCGUACGUUUUCCUUAAUAUUUUCUAAUGAUGAAUCUUAGCAAAAUGGUUUCUUCGAUUAUUUUUUUUUUUUUUGCAAGGUUUCUAGCUGCACUCUGAAUAGAGUUGAAACCUCUACACUAGACCCGAAGAUAGAAAAGAGUACGUAAUCUUUCAGAAGCAGUUUGCCAGCCGUACGCGGAAAAUGAUAUCCAUUAACCCUUUGAAGCCGGAGGGGUCAUAUAUGACCCCGGCGAUGAAACCGAGUAUAACAACCAUGUUCGAGACCAGCGAGGUUGCGACAGCAGCGGCAAAACAAUUCGGCUUCAAAGGGUUAAGACACUGUUGCAACUGACUCAGAAAGAUACGGUAGAAGAUUGGAAAGUUUUCAAUUGAUCAGUCAGUCAGGAUUUGCCUAUGUAGUGUUAUGGUUACACGGUUUGUGUUUGUCUUCUUGUUUGAUUUUGUGGUAUGGUUCAAUAUGUUUUACUUCUCGUUAAAUCAGUUGUCAUAUGUUUGUUUUUUUUUCAUCGAAUCAAUCGAACCCUGUAUGUUAAAAUAUAUUCGAUCCUGUGUCAAAUUGUUUUCUUGAUUUCGCUAAUCGUUUUCUACUUCUCUGUGUUCAUCUCUUGUGUCCUUAAAUUGUCAUCGGUGCAAAACCCACAGAAACAUGUAACUGAACUUCUGAUAUUUUUCUGUUGUCGUCAUAAUACCAUCUAAUAGAUAAACAAAAAUACAUACGCCAAGUUGGUCAGUUGAUUGCAAUAAAAUUUUAAAAUAAUAAAGAUUUCAUGUCAACUUUCAUCCCGCUACAAAUACUAUGAAAAAUAUCCAAAUUCGUUCAAUUGUCCUAUCGGUCCUACCUAGAUAAACCAUGUUAUUUUCUCAAGCGUAGCCUAGAAAUGUCAACCUAGUCAUACACAAGUAACGUU